CUACGUAGGGGGCGAGCGUUGUCCGGAAUGACUGGGCGUAAAGGGCGUGUAGGCGGCGGUGUAAGUCUGGAGUGAAAGUCCCGCAUUCAAUGUGGGAAUUGCUUUGGAUACUGCAGUGCUAGAGUGCGGAAGAGGUAAGUGGAAAUCCCAGAGUAGCGGUGAAAUGCGUAGAGAUUGGGAGGACCACCAGUGGCGAAGGCGACUCUCUGGUCUGUAACUGACGCUGAGGCUCGAAAGCGUGGGGAGCAAACAGGAUUAGAUACCCUGUUAGUCCACGCCGUAAACGAUGAGUGCUAAGUGUUGGAGGGUUUCCGCCCUUCAGUGCUGCAGCUAACGCAUUAAGCACUCCGCCUGGGGAGUACGACCGCAAGGUUGAAACUCAAAUGAAUUGACGGGG
RNAcentral lists this ribosomal RNA (397 nucleotides) under uncultured bacterium. RNAcentral's name for it is "partial 16S ribosomal RNA". It matches the Rfam family "Bacterial small subunit ribosomal RNA", at positions 523 to 918 of the family's 1533-position model. The record is from RNAcentral.